AACGAACGCUGGCGGCAUGCCUAACACAUGCAAGUCGAACGAGACCUUCGGGUCUAGUGGCGCACGGGUGCGUAACGCGUGGGAACCUGCCCUUAGGUUCGGAAUAACUCCCCGAAAGGGGUGCUAAUACCGGAUAAUGUCUUCGGACCAAAGAUUUAUCGCCUUUGGAUGGGCCCGCGUUGGAUUAGCUAGUUGGUAGGGUAAAAGCCUACCAAGGCGACGAUCCAUAGCUGGUCUGAGAGGAUGAUCAGCCACACUGGGACUGAGACACGGCCCAGACUCCUACGGGAGGCAGCAGUGGGGAAUAUUGGACAAUGGGCGAAAGCCUGAUCCAGCAAUGCCGCGUGAGUGAUGAAGGCCUUAGGGUUGUAAAGCUCUUUUACCCGGGAUGAUAAUGACAGUACCGGGAGAAUAAGCUCCGGCUAACUGCGUG
Molecule: ribosomal RNA, 433 nt
Filed under: uncultured bacterium
Lineage: Bacteria
Description: partial 16S ribosomal RNA
Rfam family: Bacterial small subunit ribosomal RNA
Source: RNAcentral